GAUGAACGCUGGCGGCGUGCCUAAUACAUGCAAGUCGAGCGAACAGACGAGGAGUUUGCUCCUCUGACGUUAGCGGCGGACGGGUGAGUAACACGUGGAUAACCUAUCUAUAAGACUGGGAUAACUUCGGGAAACCGGAGCUACUACCGGCUAAUAUAUUGAACCGCAUGGUUCAAUAGUGAACGACGGUUUUGCUGUCACUUAUAGAUGGAUCCGCGCCGCAUUAGCUAGUUGGUAAGGUAACGGCUUACCAAGGCAACGAUGCGUAGCCGACCUGAGAGGGUGAUCGGCCACACUGGAACUGAGACACGGUCCAGACUCCUACGGGAGGCAGCAGUGGGGAAUCUUCCGCAAUGGGCGAAAGCCUGACGGAGCAACGCCGCGUGAGUGAAGAAGGUCUUCGGAUCGUAAAGCUCUUUUAUCAGGAAAGAAAAAAUGUGUAAGUAACUAUGCGCGGCUUGACGGUACCUAAUCAGAAAGCCACGGCUAACUACGUG
RNAcentral lists this ribosomal RNA (497 nucleotides) under uncultured bacterium. RNAcentral's name for it is "partial 16S ribosomal RNA". It matches the Rfam family "Bacterial small subunit ribosomal RNA", at positions 28 to 507 of the family's 1533-position model. The record is from RNAcentral.